RNAcentral lists this long non-coding RNA (427 nucleotides) under Mustela putorius furo (domestic ferret). RNAcentral describes it as "lncRNA (ENSMPUG00000030308.1)". The record is from RNAcentral. Lineage: Eukaryota; Metazoa; Chordata; Mammalia; Carnivora; Mustelidae.
UGAUCUCAUCCUACUGAUUGAAUUUGCUGACACGCUUAUCAUUUCCUUUUACAGUUUUUAUGGUCCAGAAUGACUCUGUUGCCAGCAUCUUCUGAUAGGAGGAAUUACUUUUCCAGGCAGUGCAAUCAUGCUAUUUAUCAAAAGAAACACUGGACAAUCAGACUGGACUUCAGAGCUGUGUCCUGACCCAUCUGGCCAACUCUCGGCAAGAAACUUCUUUGUUCUUUAGAGACUGAGAUUUAUCCCCAAGCACUAACAGAAUUGAAACGGAAGAAGUUGGAAUUAUUCGUCUUUGAAGAAAUAACUUCACUGGCACUAGGAGAAGCCUCCUUCUCUCGGACCCCAGCACCCUGCACUUACAAACUCUUUGAAGUACUACCUACCCAUCUCUGCCUCAAACGUAACCACUAUUUUGAUUUCAAUCACC